This 462-nucleotide ribosomal RNA is filed under the name uncultured bacterium. RNAcentral describes it as "partial 16S ribosomal RNA". It matches the Rfam family "Bacterial small subunit ribosomal RNA", at positions 29 to 507 of the family's 1533-position model. The record is from RNAcentral.
AUGAACGCUGACAGAAUGCUUAACACAUGCAAGUCUUUGGCGAAGCUGUGCUUGCACAGCCUAGCCAAGGCGGACGGGUGAGUAACGCGUAAGGAACUUGCCCUGCAGUCAGGGAUAACAGACGGAAACGACUGAUAAGACCUGGUAAAGUCAGGCGGACUCAUGUCCAGCCUGAUGAAAAGAGAUGCUGCAGGAGAGCCUUGCGUCCUAUUAGCUUGUUGGUGGGGUAACGGCCCACCAAGGCGAUGAUAGGUAGCCGGCCUGAGAGGGUGGACGGCCACAAGGGGACUGAGAUACGGCCCUUACUCCUACGGGAGGCAGCAGUGGGGAAUAUUGGACAAUGGGGGCAACCCUGAUCCAGCAAUUCUGUGUGCACGAUGAAGGUUUUCGGAUUGUAAAGUGCUUUCAGCAGGGAAGAAAAAAAUGACGGUACCAGCAGAAGAAGCGACGGCUAAAUACGUG